CCCGGUAACUGGGUUGAGGAGGUCGGAUAGGCAGUCGCUCCUUGUAAAAUAAUGGUAAAAAAAAAAGUGAAAACUAGGCCCCCAGUAGUCUUGCCAUUGGCAACUAGUGGUUUCUCUUAUACCAUGGAAAGGUUUUGUUUUUUCGCACCCACAGCAAGCAGUUAGGAGAGAUUUGGUAGUAAAUAUUUGUACCAUAAAAUUGUCUUGAACUAGAAACAAUAAAAAUCUGUCACUAAGGUUUCAGGGGUUAUUUUAACAUAACUUUUAAAUGAUUAUUAUUAAUUUUAAAUAAGUUGAUAUAUGAAUAAAAUUUGGUCCUUUCUGACAAGCAAACCAUUGAAAUCUUAGAUCAUAAUAAACCAAUAUUAAAAAAUGUUAUAGCAGUUCCUUAAUUUUGAAUGUACAAAUCACUACCAGUAUUUAUAAAAAAUAAUUAAUUAAGAGAAAAUAAUACCUUCAGUAUAUUGUUUGAAUAUUGUUAAAUGUUCGUUUAGCGUCAUAUCAUGUGGAUAGUUUCUGUUAUAGCUCAUAUUAUUACAAAAUAGUGAGAACAGCACAAAAUAAUGUUAAUUUUUAUUAAUGUUUGAGUAUUUUUAUUUUGUUUUUCAGUGAAGUCUAGUGUGUUUGGUUUGUUCUUUUUAAUUGGAUUAUGCAUGUGAAUAAAUGUUCUUGAUUCAAUAAACAACUGGUUUGUCUAACAAACCCCUGGAACGAGGCUGUAGUAUUCAUUCACUUCAUUGUGUUUGAUUUUGAUACAUAUUUCAUGCCUGAAAAGUAAUUUCCAUAAUACAUAACGACUUAAUUUUAUGACUGCUACAGGCGCGUUAGACCUAAUUUUAUUUGCCACUGUGGACCUGGCAUGUCAGUUCGGGCCAUUUUAGGCCGUGUUUAAACUAAACCAAUGUGCAGCCUCUUAUCGAAAGCUAGCGUUAUGCAUUUUAGGAUAACAACUACCCGAAAAACGUUUAUUACGCUAUGCAUUGACGCUGAAAAACACAUUUUAUAACUCGCAGUGAACCUGAUCAUAUUCUGCGGUUGACUCAACGUUUGGUUCAAACACAGCCUUAGGUGAUGUGGAUUUUUUUAAAACCAUGAUGCAAAAUAUGUUGCCGAUAAUGCCAAUGAAGACAAAAAACUAUUGGUCCCAUUACGACAUGUCAUUUGAAUGUGAAAAAUGUAAAAGGAAGUACAGACAUAAGAGUACAUAUAGAAGACACGUCACGUAUGAAUGUGGAAAAGAACCAAUGUUUCGCUGCCCAUUUCUAGAUUGUACCUAUAAAGCGUACCAAAAGACGCACACGGAUGCUCACAUCAAGACGAAACAUAAACUAACGGCGCUCGAAUAUAAACGAUGAUCCAAGGAUGUGCGGGAGUAUAAAAUAUUGUGAUAUUAAAGGUUAAUUAAUUUUAAAUA
Molecule: long non-coding RNA, 1414 nt
Organism: Trichoplusia ni (cabbage looper)
Lineage: Eukaryota; Metazoa; Arthropoda; Insecta; Lepidoptera; Noctuidae
Exons: 2
Source: RefSeq, a predicted model, not a curated record